Molecule: ribosomal RNA, 545 nt
Filed under: uncultured chicken cecal bacterium
Lineage: Bacteria
Description: bacterial SSU rRNA
Rfam family: Bacterial small subunit ribosomal RNA
Source: RNAcentral
AGAGUUUGAUCCUGGCUCAGGACGAACGCUGGCGGCGUGCCUAAUACAUGCAAGUCGAGCGAGCAGAACCAGCAGAUUUACUUCGGUAAUGACGCUGGGGACGCGAGCGGCGGAUGGGUGAGUAACACGUGGGGAACCUGCCUCAUAGUCUGGGAUACCACUUGGAAACAGGUGCUAAUACCGGAUAAGAAAGCAGAUCGCAUGAUCAGCUUAUAAAAGGCGGCGUAAGCUGUCGCUAUGGGAUGGCCCCGCGGUGCAUUAGCUAGUUGGUAAGGUAACGGCUUACCAAGGCGAUGAUGCAUAGCCGAGUUGAGAGACUGAUCGGCCACAUUGGGACUGAGACACGGCCCAAACUCCUACGGGAGGCAGCAGUAGGGAAUCUUCCACAAUGGACGCAAGUCUGAUGGAGCAACGCCGCGUGAGUGAAGAAGGUUUUCGGAUCGUAAGCUCUGUUGUUGGUGAAGAAGGAUAGAGGUAGUAACUGGCCUUUAUUUGACGGUAAUCAACCAGAAAGUCACGGCUAACUACGUGCCAGCAGCCGCGGU